Pollicipes pollicipes is the source of this 1252-nucleotide long non-coding RNA. RefSeq lists it as uncharacterized. Lineage: Eukaryota; Metazoa; Arthropoda; Thecostraca; Pollicipedomorpha; Pollicipedidae. The record is from RefSeq and is a predicted model, not a curated record. The transcript has 5 exons.
CAGCGCGAGAAUAGCGCUAUUUAUGUACACGGCCCUGCGUUCGUGCUUGCCGCGGGCAGGCUUCGAGCACCUGCCAUAGCCCGUAUUUAUUUCCAGCACUCGGUGUGUUGAUUUCAGAGACUGGCAGGUUCGCCAGUGUGUGGGGUGCUGGGAGUUGGAGAUCCGAGGAUUUCGCAACGUGUCAGUGCGUUUAAGGCCGGUUUUGAAGCCAAGAACUUCAAGAUUAUCAGCAGCAUGAAGAUCAUUAUUCUUGCACUGAUUGUUCAGGUGUGCAGGUGCUCUGGACUGGGGUCUUUUCAAGAGAAAAAGGUUGAUGAAGCCACCAUGACCAUGGCCAACUAUGCUGUGCCCCUCAUCCAGUCAGAAAUAGACAGCAACAAAUUUUUCAUCCCUGAAAUCUGUGGACAAAGUACAUCAUCAGAUUGUGGCUGGCAAGAACUACAAGAUGGAGCUGACACUGGUGGAGACAGGCUGUGAUGAGAAGUGCUGGCCAGCAGGGGCUGGCAUGCCCACCCCUCGACCAGCCGCGCACCGUGCACUGCAAGGUGGUGGUGUACGACGUGCCGUACCGCAGCCAUCGCGAGGUUUCUAAGAAGGAGUGCGGCCAGCCCGCCUGAGCCGCCUCCGCUGACCUGGCCAGCCCGCGUGAGGCGCCUCCGCUGACCUGGCCAGCCCGCGUGAGGCGCCUCCGCUGACCUGGCCAGCCCGCGUGAGGCGCCUCCGCUGACCUGGCCAGCCCGCCUGAGCCGCCGCCGCUGACCUGGCCAGCCCGCGUGAGGCGCCUCCGCUGGCCUGGCCAGCCCGCCUGAGGCGCCUCCGCUGACCUGGCCAGCCCGCCUGAGGCGCCUCCGCUGACUUGGCCUGACCGCCGAGCGCGUUGUCCGCCGUGUCGGGUGGACGUGGUACAUCUGACGGUGGGAGCGGCGCGGCGCUCCUGUGACCUCGCUGCGGCCAGGAGCGAUUCCUUUGAUUCAUAUCUUUAUAACCGACCGUCGAUGAUUUUGCAUUCCUUGGCAUCUUUGUCGUGGAUAUUAUUGUAAGUUUUUCAAUCAUGUCAUGGGUUUCCAAUGAUCCUGUGAAGAAGUGGUGCUGAUUUCUCAGUUACUACGCUUGUGCCACUGGUUUUAGUUAUGAUACCGGUUGAUGACUUAAGUAAAGUGCAGCUUUUACGAUUCCUACAUGUUCUACCGUGCGCAUUGACGUCUUUCAGCCCGGCAGAUAUGCUUAACACAAAAUACAGUAUUUUUGAUGA